UACGGGGGGGGCAAGCGUUGUUCGGAAUUACUGGGCGUAAAGGGCUCGUAGGCGGCCAACUAAGUCAGACGUGAAAUCCCUCGGCUUAACCGGGGAACUGCGUCUGAUACUGGAUGGCUGGAGUUUGGGAGAGGGAUGCGGAAUUCCAGGUGUAGCGGUGAAAUGCGUAGAUAUCUGGAGGAACACCGGUGGCGAAGGCGGCAUCCUGGACCAAUACUGACGCUGAGGAACGAAAGCCAGGGGAGCAAACAGG
This 253-nucleotide ribosomal RNA is filed under the name uncultured bacterium. Its description in RNAcentral is "partial 16S ribosomal RNA". It matches the Rfam family "Bacterial small subunit ribosomal RNA", at positions 524 to 776 of the family's 1533-position model. The record is from RNAcentral.